This 119-nucleotide ribosomal RNA is filed under the name Pteropus alecto (black flying fox). Lineage: Eukaryota; Metazoa; Chordata; Mammalia; Chiroptera; Pteropodidae. The record is from RNAcentral.
GUCUAUGGCCACGCCACCCUGAACAAGCCGGAUCCCGUCUGAUCUCGGAAGCUAAGCAGGGUCGGGCCUCGUUAGUACUUGCAUGAGAGACCACCUAGAAAGACCAGGUGCUGUAGGCG